Cheilinus undulatus (humphead wrasse) is the source of this 2649-nucleotide RNA transcript. RefSeq lists it as uncharacterized. The transcript is spliced from 7 exons. NCBI's taxonomy places the organism in Eukaryota, Metazoa, Chordata, Actinopteri, Labriformes, Labridae. The record is from RefSeq and is a predicted model, not a curated record.
GUGGGUGAUGGCCAGUCUGGUAUGCCAGGGUUCAUCUGGAAUAGAGUUCCUGACUUGGGGUCCUGGAACUGCUAGGGGGCGCCAAAGAUCUCAGGAUCUACACAGCAAGAUCCCCAAAGAUGUUCUGUUGAAGUACAAAUCGGGGGAACGGCCAUCCUGCAUUUAAACCUCAACACCACGCUGGACAGAAAUGAUGUAAAAGUAGAAUGGUGCCAUGAUAAGAAGCAUGUGCAUGUGUUUGAGAAUAAUGGGUCCUAUCUUGAAUAUCAGCUCAAGGCUUAUAAAAACAGAGCAUUCCUCUUUGAGGGUCAAAUCAGUGAAGGAAACGUUUCACUGAAACUCAUCAACGUGACUGAGCAGGAUGCGGGAAACUACACCUGCAUUAUAAUACGUGACAAAAUGCCACCAAAGAAGUUUGAAUUUUGUCUCGAUGUAGUGGAUGACAGCCCCACAGAAGCUUCAGUGGGGAGCCCUAAACCUGAUCCAACACCUACGCCUCAACCUCCCCAAGACACGACCGUGAUAAUUAUCAGUGUUGUUGCUGGUGUUGCUGUGUUGGGCGUCAUCGCUGGAGUGUUAUUAUGUAAACGUAGAGGAAACAGACAAACCAAAACAACCGAAACAAUCCAAGGGAGAUGCAUGCCCUGAAUGACCACAACUAAGACAAUACGGACAACGAAGAUGGCCAAGACGACAGAGACAUCCCCAACAACCCAGAUGUCCAAGACGACCAAAUCAACCCAGAUGACCAAGACAGCCAAGAGGACCAAAACAACCGAGAUGUUCAUGACAACCAAAUCAGCCAAGACAAUAGAGAUGACCAAGACAACCCGGACAACCAGGACAAUAAAAAAUGCAGGAUCUGAGCACCAUGGGAAGCAAUUAAACAAGGACGAGAACAUCCAUGAAGGUUCAAGUUUUCUCGAAGACAUGACAGAGAAAUUGAAACCCUGUCCUGUACUCAAAACCUCCUUAUGAUGAUUCUGGAGUACAAACACAUCUCACCCAUACUUCAUAAUCUUCACUGGCUUCCUAAUGACGAUCCCCAACUCCUCGACCCCCAAACUUCGAAAAGAAUCUUCUGCACUGACACCGUGUCUUUGUCUUCUCACCAGUGUGUAAUAUUUGGUAAACGUCUUGAAAAUGCCCUCUUCAAUCCCUUUAUGGUACAUGAAACGUGUUAAAGUGUCUUUUAAUGGUGCCGUUCUCCUGGACAAAAUGUGAUAAAGUGCCCUCCAGGCUGCCUUCCCAGUGGACAAACAUAAAGAGGUCCCUCUCAUGUCCCCCUCUAGUGGACAGUAUGCGGUUAAGUGCCCCUUAAGUCCUUUCCAUUGGACCAACAAGACAAAGUGCCUUAAGGGUGCCCUUCCAUUAGGUUAUACUGAGCUAAGUGCUUGUGCUGUCCUAUAUUACUGUCCUGCUUUGGAGACAUUAGCUGCCUCAGUGUAUCUCAAUCCAAAGAGACUCAAUAGAGUGAACAAUAGUUUAUUUUACAAGUUUGAAAAUGUGAAGUUUCUUUGGCGCAUAGAUUCCAUUGUGAUUCAGUCUAGACACUGACAGUGGAAGGAGUAGGAUGAGAUGAGGAGUAGACUUCUGAGGAGCCUGACCCAGUCACCGAUGAGCUGGCAUGGAGGUGGUGAUGUAGGGUGGACUUGUAAGGACCUGGACCCUGGUACAGAUGUGAUGUAAUGGAGCACUGAUGAACAGCAGACUGAAUGACUGAAUGUCAGGACUGGAGCUCCUACAUUAAAGGUCCAUCCAUCCAUCUACUUUCGCUUAUCCUGGGCCGGGUCAUGGGGGCAGCAGGUUAAGCAAGUCCGCCCAGAUGUCCCUUUCCCCAGCGACACUUUCCAACUCCUUCUGGGGGAUCCUGAGGCGUUCCCAGACGAGACAGGAUAUGUAAUCUCUCCAACGCAUUCUUGGUCUUCCUGGAGGUCUCCUCCCAGACGGAUGUGCCUGGAAUACCCCCACUGGGAAGCGACCAGGAGGCAUCCCGAUCACAUGCCCGGACCACCUCAGCUGGCUCCUUUUGAUGCAAAGGAGCAGCGGCUCGACUCCUAGCCCCCUCAGGAUGUCUGGACUCCUCAUUCUGGGCCAGAUUUACGAAAGGUUUGCAUGUAUAAAAAUGUAUGUAAAAUCAUUGCACAUGCAAAAAAAAGUACAAACUGAUUUACUAACAGUGCGCGCUAAGGGUUGCGUCUUUCAAAGGUGCAAAAUAGUGCAUCUGCAUCCAUUUAGUACAUUUGCUGCAAUAAAUAUGCAAUAUGGGGCGUUGCGCAGAGAACGCAUUUUUCACCCUCGUGUGAACAUUUUUUGAAUGAAUGAGGAAACAGUCAUUAAAACAUAUCGCCUCUCCAGCCUUGCCAGUUUGGAGCUGAUGGAGGAACUCGUAGCAGAUUUGGAGCCAGCCACAAGAAGGAGUCACGCAAUACCUGCAGUGACAAAACUCCUUGCAAGUUUACUUUUUUUUGCAUCUGGGUCAUUCCAGCGUACGGUAGCUAUUACUGCUGGGAUCCCCCAAUCCCAUUUUUCUGAUGUUCUGUGUGAAGUUCUAGCGUUAAACACACACAAGGGGGAACUUUUAAGGAAAAUAGAAAACCUUUUAAAGUAAAGAAUAUAUCAAAAUGCAAUAAACAAUUUUGGUGCUGA